This is a long non-coding RNA of Hordeum vulgare subsp. vulgare (domesticated barley), 883 nucleotides long. RefSeq lists it as uncharacterized. The record is from RefSeq and is a predicted model, not a curated record. The transcript has 7 exons. NCBI's taxonomy places the organism in Eukaryota, Viridiplantae, Streptophyta, Magnoliopsida, Poales, Poaceae.
CACGCGUUGCUCCCCGCGCGCCGCGCCCCGCGCGCCCACCGCAUGUGUAGGUGCUGAGUGCGGGUGCCGCGGCAUGGUCGUCGCCAACUCAAGGGAAGUCUUCUCCACAGACGUCGCUGACUACGCCAUCGGCUUGCUGCUCGACGUACUCUGGCACGUGUCUGCGGCAGAGCGGUACGUCCAGCACGGGUCCUGGCUGGUGCAGGGCGACCAUCCCCUCGGAUCCAAGGAACAGGGGAGCGUACUUGUUUAAAGACCCGAUGAACACGCCUGGUCAUGGGAAUGCAAAUCUCACGAGUGAAAAUCCGCGAGGACAAAAAUUGAAGGGUGUACAAAGUUGGUAUGCCUAAGUGUACGAUGAGAAAAGAACGGAAUAAAACCAGAAGCGGCUUACAACCCGGUCAGAAAAGGAGGCCCUAUAUAGGAUCUUUACUUGGGAGAUAAGGAGGAGAAAAAGCAGAGGUCCUCUUCACAGGAUAGACUUUUUAUGUGUCAUGUCAACAAUGGUGUAUGAUAAGAAGUCCAAGCAGGUUGCAUAUGAGGUGAAUCAAGGAAGUUGGUACGAUAUGCAGCCUUCAAACCAUAGAUUAUAUACUGACAAGUUCUUAGCAACCAUGGCUCCACCCACAACCUGGAGGAGGCGGCUCCACCGACAACGUGCUUUCCCUCAAUUUGUUCAAAUACCAUGCCAUUUUGUAUUUGUACAACUUUUAUGGAGGGAGUGCAGCAUACCUAGGACUCACCAUGACGACGUGCAUUCUAAGAAAAGCAUAAUCAAAUUCCUAUAACUUAAGAAAUAAGAUCCAUUUAUGACUAGCGGGACAAUGGAAUUGAUUGUACAAAAUCUUUCUUUCAUAGCAAUUAUCCAUGUUGAUAAAGUAUU